This 301-nucleotide long non-coding RNA is filed under the name Elaeis guineensis (African oil palm). Its description in RNAcentral is "long non-coding RNA (EGUI_LNC053895)". Lineage: Eukaryota; Viridiplantae; Streptophyta; Magnoliopsida; Arecales; Arecaceae. The record is from RNAcentral.
GGAUGUGGUAAUCAUAAAAAAAAUUUUAAAAGGAAAUUAAGAAAAAGGCAAGGAAAAUUUGAGUGGCAAAAUUUGCAAGAAGGGUGGUGAGAUUUUUAGCAAGUAUUGCUAGUGUGCCCUUGGGUUUGAUUUUUCUAUGUGUUGGAGUCAAAAAUCAAAUCUUAGAUUGUAUGACAUCUGAAGAGUGUCUUCCUAGUAUCAUUCUGGUGCAAAGAUUGAAAGUAACUGGGCUUUGGUGCGAUUAUAAUGCAAGUUUGAAGUCGGUAGUGUUCUUGAGAAGACAAGGCUAUGACAGCGCACC